This 497-nucleotide ribosomal RNA is filed under the name uncultured bacterium. RNAcentral describes it as "partial 16S ribosomal RNA". It matches the Rfam family "Bacterial small subunit ribosomal RNA", at positions 28 to 507 of the family's 1533-position model. The record is from RNAcentral.
GAUGAACGCUGGCGGCGUGCCUAAUACAUGCAAGUCGAGCGAACAGACGAGGAGCUUGCUCCUCUGACGUUAGCGGCGGACGGGUGAGUAACACGUGGAUAACCUACCUAUAAGACUGGGAUAACUUCGGGAAACCGGAGCUAAUACCGGAUAAUAUAUUGAACCGCAUGGUUCAAUAGUGAAAGACGGUUUUGCUGUCACUUAUAGAUGGAUCCGCGCCGCAUUAGCUAGUUGGUAAGGUAACGGCUUACCAAGGCAACGAUGCGUAGCCGACCUGAGAGGGUGAUCGGCCACACUGGAACUGAGACACGGUCCAGACUCCUACGGGAGGCAGCAGUAGGGAAUCUUCCGCAAUGGGCGAAAGCCUGACGGAGCGACGCCGCGUGAGUGAUGAAGGUCUUCGGAUCGUAAAACUCUGUUAUUAGGGAAGAACAAAUGUGUAAGUAACUAUGCACGUCGUGACGGUACCUAAUCAGAAAGCCACGGCUAACUACGUG